UCACUUAAAUUACAACCCGAGCUUAAAAGCCUAAGUAGUAUUUCCUUGUUAGAAGAUAGAAAGCCAAAGCCACUUACGCACUUUAGCUACACCAUCAAAGCUUUGAGAAGCAAGAAGAAGCUUGGUUAGUGUUUUGGAGUCAAUAUUACUAGAUGUCAUGUGUAUGAGUGAGUAUUACAAAUAGAACCGCAACCGGAUCUUAAAAGCCUAAGUAUUGAAUCUUUGUUAGAAGAUACAAAGACAAAGACUCAUACGAACUUCGGCUACACCAUCAAAGCUUUGAGAAGUAAGAAGAAGCUUGGUUAGUGUUUUGGAGUUAGACUAGAUGUCAUAUGUAUGAGUGAGUAUAACAACUAGAAUUGCAACCAGAUCUUAAAAGCAUAAGUAUUGUAUCCUUCUUAGAAGAUACAAAGACAAAGACUCAUACGGACUUUGACUACACAAUCAAAGCUUUGAGAAGCCAGAAGAAGCUUGGUUAGUGUUUUGGAGUCAAAUAUGACUUGAUGUCAUGGGUAUGAUUGAUUAUA
This 527-nucleotide small RNA is filed under the name Arabidopsis thaliana (thale cress). Its description in RNAcentral is "ATSL271710". The record is from RNAcentral. Lineage: Eukaryota; Viridiplantae; Streptophyta; Magnoliopsida; Brassicales; Brassicaceae.